Vicia faba (fava bean) is the source of this 249-nucleotide non-coding RNA. NCBI's taxonomy places the organism in Eukaryota, Viridiplantae, Streptophyta, Magnoliopsida, Fabales, Fabaceae. The record is from the annotation of a GenBank genome assembly.
AUGAAAUCGGAAGCAAAACCCCGACGGAGUGAUCGAGAAAACCAGAGCAUCGAUUCGCCUCAACCUUCUUCGUUGAUUCGCUUCCGCAAGAUCCCAGUCUUGUCCGGUUAUCAAGAUUGUAACAAUGAGGAUGAUGAUGAAGAACGACAGUUGCAACUAUUGAAGGUUGCUGACGAUGAUGAUUGGAGCUUAAAAAUCAUUAAAGAUUGCAGUGAAGCUUUUGGUGGAAGGUUGAAGAAGGGAGCAUAG